GAAAGACAGAACAUGAGGAGGAUGCAGGGCCUCCUGCUCCCAUGCAGCGCUGGCUACCAUGGGGGCAACAAUGCCUCCAUGCAGCAGAAAAAGUACUGCAGGGAAAGCUGCAUCCUCAGGCCCUGGUGACCUGCAAGUUGGAGAAGUUCCAGGACCAAACAACCCAAUGCACCUGCAACAACACAGUCAAAGAGUUGAUGGAUACGGGGAGCAAGAGUG
This 219-nucleotide long non-coding RNA is filed under the name Homo sapiens (human). RNAcentral's name for it is "non-protein coding lnc-PELI1-7:1". Lineage: Eukaryota; Metazoa; Chordata; Mammalia; Primates; Hominidae. The record is from RNAcentral.